Molecule: long non-coding RNA, 1219 nt
Filed under: Vigna radiata
Lineage: Eukaryota; Viridiplantae; Streptophyta; Magnoliopsida; Fabales; Fabaceae
Description: long non-coding RNA (VRAD_LNC009962)
Source: RNAcentral
AGUCAAUAACAUUAUUAAAUUCGAUCACACAUAACAAGUAUAUAUAAUACCAUAACUUAAACUUACCGUUGGGUUCCCAGACGCCAUUGCAACUGCCCAAAUUUCAGACAAACAUAUGAAUGGUGGAUUAGGGUUCAUACAAACACAAAAGGCAUAAAACGACACGCACAAAAGCAAAACACAAAAACCCUCCCCAACCCAAACAAUGCGAUAUAGAGUGAAAACUCUAAUGGGAUAUACUGCACAAAACCAAACACACCCAAAACGCAAAACGCGAAACGCGAAAUAGUGCUUACCAAUAGAGUAUGGAUGAAUACAAAUCCAGAGAAGAGAGACGAAUGGAAAGAACAAGGGAGUCGAUAGACGAAUGAGUGCAGGAGACGAAUAAAGAGAGGAACCGAAUGGGAGAGACGAGAACUUUGCUUUCGAAAAGUGAAGAAGAUGAAAAAUUAAACCGCUAAAAUCAAUUUUUAUAAAACCAUUAUUCCUAAAUUACCCUUAUGCACUUCUUUAAAAGGGUUUUAUUCAUUUACUGAGGACAUGCAAUAGAAUUUUGACAUGUGGAGGUGUGUCAAAAUUGUGUCAAGAUAGAGUGUCAAACAAACAUUUUCCAUACUUUAUAUUUCCUAACUCCAACACUUCUUCCAUAAACUAACCACUACAGCAUGACUCUAUUCUAUUCACCCACUUCCUUUUCUUUCCAUAACAUAAAUCUAUUAAACAAAAUUACAGAACCAAACUUUCCUAAUCCUAAAUUAACACCACAACCGCUAAUUAAUUAUUUCCUAUUAAAAUAUCACAUCAAUCAAGAUUUUUUUAAUCUUUUCUUAAUUCCUCUCCCUUUUUUUUAACUAACGUAGGACCCAUUCUCACCUACCCACUUAUUUAACAAAACAAUUCAAAUUAAAGAACUCCAUUUUUUUUUCUUCCCACACUGCCUAUUUCCUCUCUGUUACCAUUGUUCUUCUUUUUUUAAAUCUUCACCUCUCUUUCCAUUUAAGUGGGACCCACGGGUCUCACACCUAUGCACUCCAAAGUCAAAAGCAAAUCCUCCCUUAUACUUCCCACAGUUAAUAAAUAAACCAAUUUCUCCUCUGCACCUCAACGUACCAUGACAAAAGCCUUCCCAUGCAACCAUUGAGUAGCUCUCUUCCUCCUCUUUAUUGAACACCUAAAUUUAUUUUAUAAUAACAAAACACCACUGUCCCUUACUCAUAUU